AUUGAACGCUGGCGGCAGGCCUAACACAUGCAAGUCGAACGAGUGGCGGACGGGUGAGUAAUGCUUGGGCAUCUAGCUUAUGGAGGGCGAUAACUACGGGAAACUGUAGCUAAUACCGCCUACCAUAGGCUGAGCCUAAGUGGGAUUAGGUAGUUGGUGGGGUAAAGGCUAACCAAGCUGACGAUCUCUAGCUGGUCUGAGAGGAUGACCAGCCACACUGGAACUGAGACACGGUCCAGACUCCUACGGGAGGUAGCAGUGGGGAAUAUUGAGCAAUGGGCGAAAGCUGACGCAGCCAUGCCGCGUGAAUGAAGAAGGCCUUCGGGUGGUAAAGUACUUUCAGUAGGGAGGCGUUAACUACAGAAGAAGCACCGGCUAACUCCGUGCCAGCAGCCGCGGUAAUAC
RNAcentral lists this ribosomal RNA (405 nucleotides) under uncultured bacterium. RNAcentral describes it as "partial 16S ribosomal RNA". It matches the Rfam family "Bacterial small subunit ribosomal RNA", at positions 30 to 526 of the family's 1533-position model. The record is from RNAcentral.